UAGCCCACACCACUUGCACUAACAGUUCUAAUAUAUCACAUACACACCAAGAUAGAACACAAGUAUGCAUUAUAUCACAUAUAAGUAGAACAAGGGGGAACAUGCAUAAAUAAGAUCAUCGAAUACAAGUAAAAAAAGAUAAGACAAUUACAUAGAUGAAAAGUCAAUACGACAAUACAACACAAUAUAAACAUAAUAAAGUAAGUGAAAUGUAUAUGAUGAUGAUGAUGAUGA
Molecule: long non-coding RNA, 234 nt
Filed under: Capsicum annuum
Lineage: Eukaryota; Viridiplantae; Streptophyta; Magnoliopsida; Solanales; Solanaceae
Description: long non-coding RNA (CANN_LNC011753)
Source: RNAcentral